Molecule: unclassified non-coding RNA, 329 nt
Filed under: soil metagenome
Description: partial contains 5.8S ribosomal RNA, internal transcribed spacer 2, and large subunit ribosomal RNA
Rfam family: 5.8S ribosomal RNA (bases 1-120)
Source: RNAcentral
GAUGAAGAACGUAGCGAAAUGCGAUACUUGGUGUGAAUUGCAGAAUCCCGUGAACCAUCGAGUCUUUGAACGCACAUUGCGCCCCUUGGUAUUCCGAGGGGCAUGCCUGUUCGAGCGUCAUUAUAACCCCUCAAGCUCAGCUUGGUGUUGGGGCCUGCUGCACUGGCAGCCCUUAAAAUCAGUGGCGGCGCCAUCUGGCUCUAAGCGUAGUAAUUCUUCUCGCUAUGGAGUCCUGGUGGAUGCUUGCCAUCAACCCCCAAUUUUUCUAUGGUUGACCUCGGAUCAGGUAGGGAUACCCGCUGAACUUAAGCAUAUCAAUAAGCGGAGGA